UACGGGGGGGGCAAGCGUUGUUCGGAAUUACUGGGCGUAAAGGGCUCGUAGGCGGCCAUCUAAGUCGGACGUGAAAUCCCUCGGCUUAACCGGGGAACUGCGUCCGAUACUGCCUGACUUGAGUCCGGAAGGGGCGAGUGGAAUUCCUGGUGUAGCGGUGAAAUGCGCAGAUAUCAGGAGGAACACCAAUGGCGAAGGCAGCUCGCUGGAACGGUACUGACGCUGAGGCGCGAAAGCGUGGGGAGCGAACAGG
This 253-nucleotide ribosomal RNA is filed under the name uncultured bacterium. RNAcentral describes it as "partial 16S ribosomal RNA". It matches the Rfam family "Bacterial small subunit ribosomal RNA", at positions 524 to 776 of the family's 1533-position model. The record is from RNAcentral.